GAAUCGAGUCUGGACUUGGACCUGGAUGAUGGGAGCCCACUUUCUACCCCUUCCUCUCCUCAUCAUUCAGGAGAGAGCCUGUUUGCUGCUCUGGAAGCCAAGACUACCUCUGUGGCACAGACUUCCCAAGUGUACGUAGACUUAUGACAUGAAGAGCAUGCAAGGGAUACUGUGAAUGUAAACAACUAACGGCCUAAACCAGUACACAGAACAUACUCUACGAUCUCUUUAGAGUUUUAAACAGUUUCUGCAUCUUGUCCUUCAAGAAACUUCAGAUUUCAGUAUCAUAUUAUUAUUGUGAGAAGAGAAGGACUGAAAUAAGGGACUGAGCAUGGGAAAGCUUUUGGGAUUGGGGUUUGCCUGUAUGUUGCUUAGAAUAUACUUUAUUGAUUAAUUUCUUUUCUUUGGUAUGUACUUCUUUACUUUAACCUUCAUAUGAUUCAUAGGCUUUCUCAUAUUUCUUUUCUGUGUUAGGGUUACCUUUGUGGUGUUGGGAUCUGUACCUCUUUGUGAUGGCUGGUGUUGGUUCUUAAGAUUCUGAGCUUUAAUUAGAUAUCAUGGGAUUGAAAUAUUUUGAUUGAUAGUUUCACUGAGAUAAAGCUUUUUACUAUCGUUCAACUUUGAUAUAAACAGGUAUCAUAUGAAUAAUUGCAUUUAGCUAGCAAAAAAGUGAUAAUGAGGAAAGGGUACUGUUCAUCUUUGACAGCCUUUGAGAUUCAGGGAUCAUUGUUAAAUAGGGUACAAAUAUUGACAAUUUUGGCUUUUUUUAUUUAUUAUUAUUUUUUUUUAUAUACUGCAAUGAUGGAAAUGAUUUUGUGCAUUUUUCAUCAUGAGUAAAAAUAUCCAAUUUCAACAAGUUUCUUUGUAUGACAGCUGAACUAAUAAGUGUGGAAUACGAAGAAGAGAAACAAGUGUAGAAUUUUUCUUCUUAUAAAUAGAUAUAUAGCAAAUGGGUGUUACUAGUGGACAGAACUACUCAUGUGUGAUUUUUACCUUUCUUUUUUUAGUAAUUGACAGCCAUCAUACUUUUGAAGAGCUAUUAUUUUGAAUAUUGAAAUUUUAUUAUUUUCAUAUUUUUUUCCUUUAUUUUAUUUAUUGAAUAAGAUGUAUAAAACAUUUACUCAUGUAAAAUUAAAUAAUAGUAGAAGCAUUGAGCUUUUCCUGUGAACCAUGAAUAUGUUAAACUACCUCUGUAUAUAUUUUGUAACAAUUUAACCACUGUAUAUAUUUUUCCAUGUAUUUUCACUUCAAGUUGUAAAUAUGAAACUUCCAAUUGAAGGUAUUAUGGUGAAAUAGGUGCACAACUUUCUUUUGAUUAUACAUGUCAAGAAGAACCAUCAUUGGUAAAAAAAAAAAAGGAGUAAAUUUAUACACAUACAUAAAAGUAUUUCAUGAAUAUAACCUAUUUUCGCCAAGGGAUACUUUAGAUCAUUAUUAGUGUAGUUAUCGUGAUUAUCAAUACUUCAUCAUAUAUUAGGAAUAGGAUGAACUUUUCUAGUUUUUGUUCCCUUGUAUCAUGUAUGCUAAUACCAUGCUAACAGUAGCAUUUCCAUUGUUCAGAAGGGAAAAGAAAGAAAGGAUAGAAGAAAUACAAGACAUAAAUAUUAUUUAUACAUUAAAAUCACCAUUGUUCCAUUUUUUUUCUGAAACAUUUAAUUUCCAUAUUUAUGUACAUAUGAACAUAAUAUUGAUUAUUUGUAAUAUCACAGUAUUUGUCAGCCAGAUAAACAUUUUGUAAUUUUCUUACUGAUGUAGAAAACUAUAGAUAUAUUGUAUUAAGGUUCCUAUGUUCUCUUUAAACUACAUCAUUACUGUCAUUCUUUAUACUUCAGGUUGAUUGCAAGAUGGAGAAAGGUAUCAAGGAUUGUGUGCAAAGUAUUUGAACCAUCCUUUAGCCAUCCUGCUAUAUCUUUUACUGCAAAGCAUGUGCCUUGUCUCCUAUUGCGGAAUAUCCCUAGGUGCAUGUCACUUGUUCUAUCCCACAAAGCUAAUGAAAGUAUAAUUAGUGGUUCUAUGGUAGAUUUGAAGUGUGAUGGAAUCUUGUUUUGCAAACUGUAACCUAUGUCCAUGUUUUGUCUUUAUUCAGUGUCUGCUGUUAGUCAUAGACAGAAGACAGAACCUCAUAUAUAACAUUCUAAGUGUUAAGUUUAUUACUUUCUGCACAUUUCUUCCUUAGUGAUACUGGUUCUUCAUCCUUUGCUUAUGAAGUAUGUGCUCAUUGGUUUAGUGUAUGUAAAAGUAUUUUAUUAUUUACAUUUUAUUUUUGUAUUUUUCCAGACAUGAAGGAUUCCUGAUUUGGUAUAUUUUCAGACGAGAUUAAUGUUGUAUGUUUUUUGUUUUUUUUUAAUGAAUUGGGGUCCUUUCUUUGUAUAUAUGCAUCUUUAUGUGUAUAUGCUUGAAAUACUAGCUGUUGUAUAAGUGUACUUGCAAAUUCAGAUAUGUAAGGGUAUUUGCCAUGUUUCUGUUGAUAUGUAAAUACUUUUUCAUCUUAAGCAUUUUUGUAUUUUGAUCCCCCCUGCAAGAGAUUUUUUUUUUUUCAGUUUAAAAUUAUGCCAAAGAUAAAAAGAAUCAGUACAUACACUGUUUGUACCUGACCCUCGCAAUUAAACCAUGUAUUUGACAAAGGCUGAUUCUGUUGAUUUUAUAAAUGCUGUAAAUGCAAUGGAAAUGUUAUAUUAUCUUAUUUUAUGUAAUAUUUUGUUGAUUUGUGCUAUACAUUGUCAUUUUUG
Long non-coding RNA from Penaeus chinensis, 2729 nucleotides. RefSeq lists it as uncharacterized. The transcript has 2 exons. The record is from RefSeq and is a predicted model, not a curated record. Lineage: Eukaryota; Metazoa; Arthropoda; Malacostraca; Decapoda; Penaeidae.